GACGAACGCUGGCGGCGUGCUUAACACAUGCAAGUCGAACGCUGAAGCUCAGCUUUUGUUGGGUGGAUGAGUGGCGAACGGGUGAGUAACACGUGAGUAACCUGCCUCCUUCUUUGGGAUAACGCCCGGAAACGGGUGCUAAUACUGGAUAUUCACUGGUCUUCGCGUGGGGGUUGGUGGUAAGGGUGUUUCUGGUGGGGGUUGGGCUCGCGGCCUAUCAGCUUGUUGGUGGGGUGAUGGCCUACCAAGGCUUUGACGGGUAGCCGGCCUGAGAGGGUGACCGGGAACAUUGGGACUGAGAUACGGCCCAGACUCCUACGGGAGGCAGAAGUGGGGAAUAUUGCACAAUGGGCGCAAGCCUGAUGCAGCGACGCCGCGUGAGGGAUGGAGGCCUUCGGGUUGUGAACCUCUUUCGCUCAUGGUCAAGCCGCAACAAUGGUUGUGGUGAGGGUAGUGGGUAAAGAAGCGCCGGCUAACUACGUG
RNAcentral lists this ribosomal RNA (483 nucleotides) under uncultured bacterium. Its description in RNAcentral is "partial 16S ribosomal RNA". It matches the Rfam family "Bacterial small subunit ribosomal RNA", at positions 28 to 507 of the family's 1533-position model. The record is from RNAcentral.